Molecule: ribosomal RNA, 440 nt
Filed under: uncultured bacterium
Lineage: Bacteria
Description: partial 16S ribosomal RNA
Rfam family: Bacterial small subunit ribosomal RNA
Source: RNAcentral
CCUACGGGAGGCUGCAGUGGGGAAUAUUGCACAAUGGGGGAAACCCUGAUGCAGCGACGCCGCGUGAGUGAAGAAGUAUUUCGGUACGUAAAGCUCUAUCAGCAGGGAAGAAAAUGAUGGUACCUGACUAAGAAGCCCCGGCUAACUCCGUGCCAGCAGCCGCGGUAAUACGUAGGGGGCAAGCGUUAUCCGGUUUUACUGGGUGUAAAGGGAGCGUAGACGGCAGCGCAAGUCUGGAGUGAAAUCCCAUGGCUUAACCAUGGAACUGCUUUGGAAACUGUGCAGCUAGAGUGCAGGAGAGGUAAGCGGAAUUCCUAGUGUAGCGGUGAAAUGCGUAGAGAUUAGGAGGAACACCAGUGGCGAAGGCGGCUUACUGGACUGUAACUGACGUUGAGGCUCGAAAGCGUGGGGAGCAAACAGGAUUAGAUACCCGAGUAGUC